UGGGGAAUAUUGGGCAAUGGGCGCAAGCCUGACCCAGCAACGCCGCGUGAAGGAAGAAGGCUUUCGGGUUGUAAACUUCUUUUGUCAGGGACGAAGCAAGUGACGGUACCUGACGAAUAAGCCACGGCUAACUACGUGCCAGCAGCCGCGGUAAUACGUAGGUGGCAAGCGUUAUCCGGAUUUAUUGGGUGUAAAGGGCGUGUAGGCGGGAAUGCAAGUCAGAUGUGAAAACUAUGGGCUCAACCCAUAGCCUGCAUUUGAAACUGUAUUUCUUGAGUGCUGGAGAGGCAAUCGGAAUUCCGU
This 303-nucleotide ribosomal RNA is filed under the name uncultured bacterium. RNAcentral describes it as "bacterial SSU rRNA". It matches the Rfam family "Bacterial small subunit ribosomal RNA", at positions 355 to 672 of the family's 1533-position model. The record is from RNAcentral.